This 374-nucleotide ribosomal RNA is filed under the name uncultured eukaryote. RNAcentral's name for it is "partial 18S ribosomal RNA". It matches the Rfam family "Eukaryotic small subunit ribosomal RNA", at positions 592 to 976 of the family's 1831-position model. The record is from RNAcentral.
CAAUAGCGUAUAUUAAUGUUGUUGCAGUUAAAAAGCUCGUAGUUGAAUUUCUGGAAGGGUGCCAAUGUCCGCUGAGGCGGGUGCAGCGGCGCCCUUCCAUCCUUCUGUUAACUUUUCUUGGCAUUCAUUUGCUGGUUAAGGGCUCAGAUACUUUACCUUGAGAAAAUUAGAGUGUUUCAGGCAGGCUCGCGCCGGAAUACAUUAGCAUGGAAUAAUAGAAUAGGACUUUGGUUCUAUUUUGUUGGUUUCUAGGACCGAAGUAAUGAUUAAUAGGGAUAGUUGGGGGCAUUAGUAUUUAAUUGUCAGAGGUGUAAUUCUUGGAUUUAUGAAAGACUAACAUCUGCGAAAGCAUUUGCCAAGGAUGUUUUCAUUGA